AACGCAAAUUGCGCUCUUGGGUAGCCCUAGGAGCACGCCUCUCUCAGUAUCGGUUCAACAACCUCUCAGCAGCGUAUGCAAAUACGUGUUGGCUGGAUAAUGAGAGUCUGAGUUUCACGACUCAGUCUCUUGAAAUACAUCGAGUGAGCGUCAAUUCUUAUACAGCGACUUCGGGUCGCAGCUGGUCUCUGACUGGUUGUAUGGGAGUGACGUGAAUACUGGCCUUUAUUGGUCUCAUUUACGUGUAACUUCUUGCAGCUACUAAAGUCUAGGAUUAGUGUAUCUGAAUAUGUCUCAUGUACCGCGACUUCACUGUCGCAAUCGGCUUCAAUUUAAUUGUAGACUGAAUUUUGAUCUGAGAUGAAGCGAGACAACCCCCUGGAUUUAA
RNAcentral lists this unclassified non-coding RNA (388 nucleotides) under uncultured fungus. RNAcentral describes it as "partial contains ITS1, 5.8S rRNA and ITS2". The record is from RNAcentral. Lineage: Eukaryota; Fungi.